RNAcentral lists this ribosomal RNA (253 nucleotides) under uncultured bacterium. RNAcentral describes it as "partial 16S ribosomal RNA". It matches the Rfam family "Bacterial small subunit ribosomal RNA", at positions 524 to 776 of the family's 1533-position model. The record is from RNAcentral.
UACGAAGGGUGCAAACGUUGCUCGGAAUCAUUGGGCGUAAAGCGCACGUAGGCGGCUCCAAAAGUCGGAUGUGAAAUCCCUGGGCUCAACCGAGGAAGUGCAUCCGAAACUGCGGAGCUUGAGUAUGGAAGAGGGUCGCGGAAUUCCCGGUGUAGAGGUGAAAUUCGUAGAUAUCGGGAGGAACAUCAGUGGCGAAGGCGACUUCCUGGACCAAUACUGACGCUCAGGUGCGAAAGCGUGGGGAGCAAACAGG